Molecule: non-coding RNA, 73 nt
Organism: Potamilus streckersoni
Lineage: Eukaryota; Metazoa; Mollusca; Bivalvia; Unionida; Unionidae
Source: the annotation of a GenBank genome assembly
GCUCCGGUGGUUUAGUGGUUAGAGCCUCCGCUUCGGAUGCGAGAAAUUGUGGCUUCGAUCCCCGGUCGAGUCA